Molecule: long non-coding RNA, 2679 nt
Organism: Acanthochromis polyacanthus (spiny chromis)
Lineage: Eukaryota; Metazoa; Chordata; Actinopteri; Pomacentridae
Exons: 4
Source: RefSeq, a predicted model, not a curated record
UGUAACGGAGGAGGAGGUGGCCGUUUAUAACACCAAACCACCGCCGCCCCCUCCCCCUGAGUCACUCCCCCCAAGUUCGUUGGGCCUUCGCAGCCUCCUCCCUAUUCCCCACAGAGCUGCACUUCCCAAAAGUUGAAUCACAAAGUCCUGCCUGCGGCCAGCAGUCCACCCCUCCGGUUUCUGCAGAAUUUGCAGUGAGUGAGGGCUGAAGAAAGAGUGGGUGGGAUAGUUGAAAUACCGGGGCCAUUGUGUGAUGGAUGCCAGGGAUUUUCAGGAUGGUUCACCAACAGGCCUGACCACCUCAACAACUACUGGUAUGCUGCAGAAAUGAUCAGAGGUAACACAGGCCUCAGCCGCACAAACGGACCCCGCUCAACUCUGCUGUUUGCGGAUGGUUUUAAAACCUCGUCGGACAGCAUGAGGAGCCCAAAGUGACAGAAAACAGGUGCAGAUACAAAAAAAAUGGCACCAGCAGGGGAAGUCAUCUUCUGCAUUAAACUGUCAAAGUGCCAGCUGUGAAGAGUGUUGGUGAGGCUCAAAAUGUUUGAAGAACAUCGCUGAAAACGCCAAGCUUCACCUCUUAUGAAGAGGAGGUAGAAUCUACGAACUGUGAGGACUAUUUAUGUAUAUUUUUGGCCACUGUGCCUUCUAUCCUUUAUUUCCGUUUCAUCUUUCCAUUUGUCUUAAGGUUAGGAUGUGAUCAGUGUGUAACUUUGUUUCCAGGUUGUUCAUCUCCCCGUAGUUUAGCUUAGUGCGAACACUUGCGUCGUCGAUGAUCGCUCUACGGUAAGUCCCGUGUUUACUUCCUUCUUUUAAUGGGUUGUCUCUCCUCGGCCGCCGUGCCGACCUGUUCUGUCUUUCUAACAUGGCCGCCGUGGCGUGUUAUUCGCAUCAUGGCCGCCGUGCCGCUUCUUCAGGCUGUCUCUGUCCAUUCCACGCCAUGCGUCGUCCAGCAUGGCCGCCGAUGCGUAGUUUGAAGCCAUGCUGGAGAAGACAUUUCAUUUUGAUCUACACAAAGUAAGUGGUAUCUGUCUUAAAUGUUGGUUCUGGUGUUGGCUUUUAUCUUGAGCUCUCAUUCUCUUUCCAACAUGGCCGGCUGCCAACCAGAGUUGUGAAGACCGUCGCAUUUGUUUAGUGUUAGUAGUAUCGUGUUGUACAAAUCCCCUCAUGUGUCUGCUGUAGUAAACUGUAAUCUCCUGUCCCUGUUUAUAUCUGCACCUGUCUGUCCAGCAUCACCACACCAUCUCUCUGGCUGCUACACCAUUCUACCCUCACAGUAGUUUACCUGAUCUGGCCAUGAUUCAAUCAGACCAUAGUUAAAUUUCAUCUCUAUUGACUUGAUGAGCAAAUGAUGGUGCCCAAACAAAACUAUAGACUAACAAAGCACUGUUUUAUAGACAUGUUGUCUUAACUUGAAACAUUUUUUUUAACCCAAAAUUUCCCUAAAAAUGUUAAAUGUAGAAUUUCCACUGUGAAAAUGUAUAUAUUUUUCCACAUUUCCAAACAGUAAACGGGUCAGUUUUGACCCACAGCACAACAUGAGGGUUAAAAAGUGCUUUUUGCAGUUUGUGUAAUUGAUGUUCAGUUCUUUAAAUGCAUUUAUUCCAUUUGUUCUAAACUUAUAGAACAUUGUUUAGUAAAGUGAGAAUUUUUUUUCAUACAGCAUCAUAAAAUGAUUUCCAGUAGAAACAUAACUUUUUUUAAAAGUUUAAAUAUUAAGACUUCACAGAAAUUUGACAAAUUUGAAUAUUCAGGUUAAGAUCAAACACAGGCUUUAAAUCUGUGAUCGGUCAAAACAAAAAUCAAUUUGCUUGAGUCCGGAUGAGCUGCUGUCAAUGUAUUCAAAACUUUAAUGUUAAUCGCACUUUGCUCACAUAUUGUGGUUAAUUUCUGACUGCUGUCACUCUACUGGGUUUAAUUCCAACAGCUGUAUAGAGUUCUAGUUUAGGAUUUGUUUGGGAGGCCUCCCUGCAGGCGAUUGUAACCAAACGCCUUUAAAGUGUAGCAUGAGAUGAAAUUCACCAACAGGGUUAGUACAGGUUUGUUUUUUUGUUGUUUUUUUUUUUUAAAUCGGGGGAAGGGGGAAGCUGGUUGGGUUGCUGGAGGGACUAAACCUGACAGAGUGACAACUUAAAGCGGAGUGAUGCUGAAAUUUGGGUUGUUUUAUGGUGACAAACGGCAACUACAGCUGGAAACCUCAGACAUAUUGAAUAACUUAGUCCUACUCUUUUCAUAACACUAAAUUGCAGGGCAUUUUUUUUUUUUGCCUUUUAAGUUGACUUAUUUUAAUUGACUACAUAAGACUGUAGGUUCUAUACCUGUGCUGUUUCAAAUGAGUAACAUCUGCAGUACUGGCUGUUUGUGUGAUUCAUUUAUUUUUUUAAAUAAAUGAACCUGACUUGGUUUUUUUGCUAGCAGUUCCUGUGAGAACUCCUGACUUGUAUGUGCUAGCAAGUGGAAAAACUUUGAGUGUAAGUGCCUAAAAAUACUUAAUGUACGUUAAAAAAAAAUUUUUUAAACUGGGAAUGGGGGACAGGCAUGUAAAUGUUGACAACUGUUUAUCAAUUACACUAACUCUAGUUUGUGGCAUCUUUUACUUGUAUCGUCUUUCUUGGUUGAGUUUCACUGUAUGAACAGAUUAUACAGCUUUUUUUAAAAACUUGAUUUACUGUUUUUUUU